GAUGAACGCUGGCGGCGUGCCUAAUACAUGCAAGUCGAGCGAACAGACGAGGAGCUUGCUCCUCUGACGUUAGCGGCGGACGGGUGAGUAACACGUGGAUAACCUACCUAUAAGACUGGGAUAACUUCGGGAAACCGGAGCUAAUACCGGAUAACAUGUUGAACCGCAUGGUUCAACAGUGAAAGACGGUCUUGCUGUCACUUAUAGAUGUAUCCGCGCCGCAUUAGCUAGUUGGUAAGGUAACGGCUUACCAAGGCAACGAUGCGUAGCCGACCUGAGAGGGUGAUCGGCCACACUGGAACUGAGACACGGUCCAGACUCCUACGGGAGGCAGCAGUAGGGAAUCUUCCGCAAUGGGCGAAAGCCUGACGGAGCAACGCCGCGUGAGUGAAGAAGGUCUUCGGAUCGUAAAACUCUGUUAUUAGGGAAGAACAAAUGUGUAAGUAACUAUGCACGUCCUGACGGUACCUAAUCAGAAAGCCACGGCUAACUACGUG
RNAcentral lists this ribosomal RNA (497 nucleotides) under uncultured bacterium. RNAcentral's name for it is "partial 16S ribosomal RNA". It matches the Rfam family "Bacterial small subunit ribosomal RNA", at positions 28 to 507 of the family's 1533-position model. The record is from RNAcentral.